AACCUUAUGGACCUGCGGGCGUAUACCUGCGGAAGGAUCAUUAAUAAAUGUUACUUCGGUAACUUAAUUAAUCCCUAACACCUGUGCAUCUUGUCGCUCCGGCGUCAUUUUAUAAACAUCAGUGUAAUGAAUGUAACGUAUUAUAACAAAUACAACUUUUAACAACGGAUCU
Molecule: unclassified non-coding RNA, 172 nt
Filed under: soil metagenome
Description: partial contains 5.8S ribosomal RNA, internal transcribed spacer 2, and large subunit ribosomal RNA
Source: RNAcentral